Molecule: ribosomal RNA, 771 nt
Filed under: uncultured prokaryote
Description: bacterial SSU rRNA
Rfam family: Bacterial small subunit ribosomal RNA
Source: RNAcentral
UCACGAAGAACUCCGAUUGCGAAGGCAGCUUGCUGGACUGUAACUGACGCUGAGGCACGAAAGCGUGGGGAUCAAACAGGAUUAGAUACCNNGGUANNCCACNCCGUAAACGAUGAAUGCUAGCUGUUAGCGAUAUACUGUUAGCGGCACAGAGAAAUCGUUAAGCAUUCCACCUGGGGAGUACGCCGGCAACGGUGAAACUCAAAGGAAUUGACGGGGGCCCGCACAAGCGGAGGAACAUGUGGUUUAAUUCGAUGAUACGCGAGGAACCUUACCUGGGCUUAAAUUGCAGUGGAAUAACGUGGAAACAUGUUAGCCUUCGGGCCGCUGUGAAGGUGCUGCAUGGUUGUCGUCAGCUCGUGCCGUGAGGUGUCGGCUUAAGUGCCAUAACGAGCGCAACCCUCAUCGAUAGUUACUAACAGGUUAAGCUGAGGACUCUAUCGAGACUGCCGACGUAAGUCGUGAGGAAGGUGGGGAUGACGUCAAAUCAGCACGGCCCUUACGUCCAGGGCUACACACGUGUUACAAUGGGGGGUACAAAGGGCAGCUACCUGGCGACAGGAUGCUAAUCUCAAAAACCUCUCUCAGUUCGGAUUGGAGUCUGCAACCCGACUCCAUGAAGCUGGAUUCGCUAGUAAUCGCGCAUCAGCCACGGCGCGGUGAAUACGUUCCCGGGCCUUGUACACACCGCCCGUCAAGCCAUGGGAGCCGGGGGGACCUGAAGUAUGCAACCGUAAGGAGCGUCCUAGGGUAAAACUGGUGACUGGGGCU